RNAcentral lists this ribosomal RNA (277 nucleotides) under uncultured bacterium. RNAcentral's name for it is "partial 16S ribosomal RNA". It matches the Rfam family "Bacterial small subunit ribosomal RNA", at positions 29 to 330 of the family's 1533-position model. The record is from RNAcentral.
AACGAACGCUGGCGGCAGGCUUAACACAUGCAAGUCGAACGCGUGUAGCAAUACACGAGUGGCGCACGGGUGAGUAACACGUGGAUUAUCUGCCUCUUGGUUCGGAAUAACCCCGGGAAACUGGGGCUAAUACCGAAUGGUUCCUACGGGAUAAAGAUUUAUCGCCAAGAGAUGAGUCCGCGUCCGAUUAGCUAGUUGGUGGGGUAACGGCCUACCAAGGCGACGAUCGGUAGCUGGUCUGAGAGGACGAUCAGCCACACUGGGACUGAGACACGGC